GACGAACGCUGGCGGCGUGCUUAACACAUGCAAGUCGAACGAGGUCCAAGGUGUAGCAAUACAUCUGAAGACCUAGUGGCGAACGGGUGCGUAACACGUGAGGAACUUGUCCCGGUCUCUGGGAUAACAGUUGGAAACGACUGCUAAUACCGGAUGACGUCGGAGCAUCGCAUGGUGCGCUGACGAAAGGGUUACUGGAUCGGGAGAGCCUCGCGGCCUANCAGCUUGUUGGUGGGGUAACGGCCCACCAAGGCAUCGACGGGUAGCUGGUCUGAGAGGAUGAUCAGCCACACUGGGACUGAGACACGGCCCAGACUCCUACGGGAGGCAGCAGUGGGGAAUCUUGCGCAAUGGGCGAAAGCCUGACGCAGCAACGCCGCGUGCGGGA
RNAcentral lists this ribosomal RNA (388 nucleotides) under uncultured bacterium. RNAcentral's name for it is "bacterial SSU rRNA". It matches the Rfam family "Bacterial small subunit ribosomal RNA", at positions 28 to 408 of the family's 1533-position model. The record is from RNAcentral.